GUUAAAUAAUUGGAUGAAAAAGGAUGGGGUAUAAAAUUAAAAAAAAUGAGAUUCGGGCGAAUGGAACAUAAAAUUCUGGAGCGAUUAAUUAUUCCACGAUUCCACUCACUAGUAUGGUGUCCUCGAUCGGGGCUAACACCGUUAUUACGACAAGCACAGCAGCGAAAAGCACGAUCACGAAGGCGUAUAUUCCAAAGAUCACUUGCCUCAGACCCGAGUGCUACGUAAACGAAUAAAAAGUUGUGGUGAACAAAAAAACGCUUGUCGGGGAUGAAAUAUUCUCAUACCAACUCGAAAUCGCAAAUUAUACUUACCGGAGCGUCUCGUCUCGCGUCCGGAUGACCCAUGGAAGAUCGAGUGUGCAUAUCCUUCAUGGGGAAAGCGUUGAUUCUUAAAUUAUCCUGUCUGUCGGAUGCGCAUCCGGCGAACUGAACAAGGAAAUCGAAUCAGUGAUCAAAUUAUAUCUCGAACCAGAAAUCCGUUAAUUACGCGAUAGCGACGUAAAUAUUGAAAAACCGGGGUCGCAUGUGACGAAAUAAUAUUUGUUAUUUACCGUGAGUAUAAGAUGACUGAGAACGUGGAAAACAACGUAGGCAACGAGAAUCCAGUCGAACCACUCGGGCAAGUUGGCCUUGGUCAUUCUUACAGCGAAGAAAAUAGCGACGACUGGAAAAAAUAAUCAUUAAAUUCGUAUCGUCGAUUAUUGAUAGCACUGACUUAUGGAUUGGGUCGGGAUUGUGCUCGAAUCAUCGUUUCAAUUAAUAGAAAUACUCCGGUUAUGACAUUUUCGUGAGUGCGGUUGUUCGUUACAUGAAAAUGGAAACUUUGAUGGCCAUUCGAUGAAUAAAUGAUGAUCGAGCAUGAGAUGAGAGGGGAGAAUCUUACCGGCACAGAUAUGCGCUGCAUUUCCAACGAACCAGUGGAACCAGUUGAAGAGGGAUCUCUUGGGAGCACCGGGAUGAGGCCUCAUCGCAGCCAUAAAUGGCUGAAUGAAGCAAAGAAGCGUCGUCGCGACGCCGAGCGACGCGUGAAUCGUUUCCGUACUCCAUUCACCAAUCUCAACGAAUAUCAAGACAAACGAUGCUAGCGUCAUCGACCAAGUCGCUAGCAUGAAAAAUCUGUGCCACUGCGUUUCGUGCAAAUAAUUGUAUGAAAAUCUGAGUACUGACGCGAUACGAGUUUUUUUUUUUUUUUAGCGAAUAGAAAUAAUAUUCGAGCGAUCGGGACGUGGAAUUAAUCAUUACUUCCAAUCGCAUUCGUGCUGAAGAAUUAUUUAUAUUUAGUUAUAACUCACAGUGAACCAUUGAUCCUUGCCACAAAUGGGAGAAUUCACCCAGGUCUGUUUAUAAUAUCGGGCGAGAAGAAUCCCGAUGGAUGCUGUGCCAAUCCAAGAAGCGAGCAUCAAACCACCGUGAAUUCGAAUGUAGAGAUCGCUCGCCGCCUUCAAUUCUCCAACGUCCGAGAGCAUCUUGGCUUGGGCCGAUGCCGUUUUUAUGAUGUCGUGAUACCCGAUUCCUUGAGCUGUCGUAAUUUAUACAUUCGUCCAUUAAAAUUCCAUUAGACCGA
This is a long non-coding RNA of Venturia canescens, 1566 nucleotides long. RefSeq lists it as uncharacterized. The transcript is spliced from 2 exons. The record is from RefSeq and is a predicted model, not a curated record. NCBI's taxonomy places the organism in Eukaryota, Metazoa, Arthropoda, Insecta, Hymenoptera, Ichneumonidae.